This 475-nucleotide ribosomal RNA is filed under the name uncultured bacterium. Its description in RNAcentral is "bacterial SSU rRNA". It matches the Rfam family "Bacterial small subunit ribosomal RNA", at positions 30 to 482 of the family's 1533-position model. The record is from RNAcentral.
AUUGAACGCUGGCGGCAGGCCUAACACAUGCAAGUCGAGCGGAAACGAGUUAACUGACCCUUCGGGUGACAUUAACGGCGUCGAGCGGCGGACGGGUGAGUAAUGCCUGGGAAUAUGCCUUGAUGUGGGGGAUAACCAUUGGAAACGAUGGCUAAUACCGCAUAAUAGCUUCGGCUCAAAGAGGGGGACCUUCGGGCCUCUCGCGUCAAGAUUAGCCCAGGUGGGAUUAGCUAGUUGGUGAGGUAAUGGCUCACCAAGGCGACGAUCCCUAGCUGGUCUGAGAGGAUGAUCAGCCACACUGGAACUGAGACACGGUCCAGACUCCUACGGGAGGCAGCAGUGGGGAAUAUUGCACAAUGGGCGCAAGCCUGAUGCAGCCAUGCCGCGUGUGUGAAGAAGGCCUUCGGGUUGUAAAGCACUUUCAGCAGUGAGGAAGGUAGUGUAGUUAAUAGCUGCAUUGCUUGACGUUAGCUGC